Molecule: transfer RNA, 87 nt
Filed under: Dehalococcoidia bacterium SM23_28_2
Lineage: Bacteria; Bacillati; Chloroflexota; Dehalococcoidia
Also listed under: 3 other names
Description: tRNA-Leu
Rfam family: tRNA
About the family: Transfer RNA (tRNA) molecules are approximately 80 nucleotides in length. Their secondary structure includes four short double-helical elements and three loops (D, anti-codon, and T loops). Further hydrogen bonds mediate the characteristic L-shaped molecular structure. tRNAs have two regions of fundamental functional importance: the anti-codon, which is responsible for specific mRNA codon recognition, and the 3' end, to which the tRNAs corresponding amino acid is attached (by aminoacyl-tRNA synthetases). tRNAs cope with the degeneracy of the genetic code in two manners: having more than one tRNA (with a specific anti-codon) for a particular amino acid; and 'wobble' base-pairing, i.e. permitting non-standard base-pairing at the 3rd anti-codon position.
Source: RNAcentral
GCCGAGGUGGUGGAAUAGGUAGACACGCCGUCUUGAGGGGGCGGUGCUCGAAAGGGCGUAGGGGUUCAAAUCCCCUCCUCGGCACCA